AAGGGAGACCUAAUUCAGGUAGGAGACGAAAAAAAGUAGUCCCUACCAAGAAUCAAUCCCAAAAGGUCGGAGCGAGGCAAAAUUGGCUUUCAAACUAGGUUCUGGGUUCACAUAAGACCUGAAUCAGGAACAAGGGCUAUUAGCUCAGGUGGUUAGAGCGCACCCCUGAUAAGGGUGAGGUCCCUGGUUCGAGUCCAGGAUGGCCCACCUGCACAGGUGGCAAAAACAAAGAAAAGAAGCUCCGAAUCCGCACCUUAUCUUACUCAUAUAGUAAGAGAGAAUGCUGGCUCUGAGUUCAGAGUCCAGAGGAACCUUGAAAACUGCAUAGAGCUAGGUGAAAAAGCCAAAAAAGAAGACCGCAAGGUCAAGCUAAUAAGGGCUAACGGUGGAUACCUAGGCAC
RNAcentral lists this transfer RNA (401 nucleotides) under uncultured Microcystis sp. Its description in RNAcentral is "bacterial LSU rRNA". The stretch from base 134 to 207 matches the Rfam family "tRNA". Lineage: Bacteria; Bacillati; Cyanobacteriota; Cyanophyceae; Chroococcales; Microcystaceae. The record is from RNAcentral.